GACGAACGCUGGCGGCGUGCCUAAUACAUGCAAGUCGAGCGCAGGAAACUGACGGAACUCUUCGGAGGGAAGGCAGUGGAAUGAGCGGCGGACGGGUGAGUAACACGUAAGGAACCUGCCUCAAGGAUUGGGAUAACUCCGGGAGAUCGGAGCUAAUACCGGAUAGUUCAACGGACCGCAUGGUCCGCUGAUGAAAGGCGCUUCGGCGUCACCUUGAGAUGGCCUUGCGGUGCAUUAGCUAGUUGGUGGGGUAACGGCCCACCAAGGCGACGAAGCAUAGCCGACCUGAGAGGGUGAUCGGCCACACCGGGACUGAGACACGGCCCAGACUCCUACGGGAGGCAGCAGUAGGGAAUCUUCCACAAUGGACGAAAGUCUGAUGGAGCAACGCCGCGUGAGUGAUGAAGGUUUUCGGAUCGUAAAACUCUGUUGUAAGGGAAGAACACGUACGAGAGGGAAUGCUCGUACCUUGACGGUACCUUACGAGAAAGCCACGGCUAACUACGUGCCAGCCGCCGCGGUAA
This 524-nucleotide ribosomal RNA is filed under the name uncultured bacterium. RNAcentral's name for it is "partial 16S ribosomal RNA". It matches the Rfam family "Bacterial small subunit ribosomal RNA", at positions 28 to 523 of the family's 1533-position model. The record is from RNAcentral.